GACAGAGGGUGCAAACGUUGUUCGGAAUUACUGGGCGUAAAGCGCGUGUAGGCAGCUCGGAAAGUCGGGUGUGAAAGCCCUGGGCUCAACCUAGGAAGUGCACUCGAAACUUCCGAGCUGGAGUGCUGGAGAGGAAGGCGGAAUUCUCGGUGUAGAGGUGAAAUUCGUAGAUAUCGAGAGGAACACCGGUGGCGAAGGCGGCCUUCUGGACAGUUACUGACGCUGAGACGCGAAAGCGUGGGGAGCAAACAGG
Molecule: ribosomal RNA, 253 nt
Filed under: uncultured bacterium
Lineage: Bacteria
Description: partial 16S ribosomal RNA
Rfam family: Bacterial small subunit ribosomal RNA
Source: RNAcentral